RNAcentral lists this ribosomal RNA (253 nucleotides) under uncultured bacterium. Its description in RNAcentral is "partial 16S ribosomal RNA". It matches the Rfam family "Bacterial small subunit ribosomal RNA", at positions 524 to 776 of the family's 1533-position model. The record is from RNAcentral.
GACGGAGGGUGCAAGCGUUGUCCGGAAUUAUUGGGCGUAAAGGGCUCGUAGGCGGUUUGUCGCGUCGGGAGUGAAAACCCAGGGCUUAACCCUGGGCUGGCUUCCGAUACGGGCAGACUAGAGGUAUGCAGGGGAGAACGGAAUUCCUGGUGUAGCGGUGAAAUGCGCAGAUAUCAGGAGGAACACCGGUGGCGAAGGCGGUUCUCUGGGCAUUACCUGACGCUGAGGAGCGAAAGUGUGGGGAGCGAACAGG